Molecule: ribosomal RNA, 720 nt
Filed under: Bacillus sp. (in: firmicutes)
Lineage: Bacteria; Bacillati; Bacillota; Bacilli; Caryophanales; Bacillaceae
Description: bacterial SSU rRNA
Rfam family: Bacterial small subunit ribosomal RNA
Source: RNAcentral
GUCGAGCGGACAGAAGGGAGCUUGCUCCCGGAUGUUAGCGGCGGACGGGUGAGUAACACGUGGGUAACCUGCCUGUAAGACUGGGAUAACUCCGGGAAACCGGAGCUAAUACCGGAUAGUUCCUUGAACCGCAUGGUUCAAGGAUGAAAGACGGUUUCGGCUGUCACUUACAGAUGGACCCGCGGCGCAUUAGCUAGUUGGUGGGGUAAUGGCUCACCAAGGCGACGAUGCGUAGCCGACCUGAGAGGGUGAUCGGCCACACUGGGACUGAGACACGGCCCAGACUCCUACGGGAGGCAGCAGUAGGGAAUCUUCCGCAAUGGACGAAAGUCUGACGGAGCAACGCCGCGUGAGUGAUGAAGGUUUUCGGAUCGUAAAGCUCUGUUGUUAGGGAAGAACAAGUGCGAGAGUAACUGCUCGCACCUUGACGGUACCUAACCAGAAAGCCACGGCUAACUACGUGCCAGCAGCCGCGGUAAUACGUAGGUGGCAAGCGUUGUCCGGAAUUAUUGGGCGUAAAGGGCUCGCAGGCGGUUUCUUAAGUCUGAUGUGAAAGCCCCCGGCUCAACCGGGGAGGGUCAUUGGAAACUGGGAAACUUGAGUGCAGAAGAGGAGAGUGGAAUUCCACGUGUAGCGGUGAAAUGCGUAGAGAUGUGGAGGAACACCAGUGGCGAAGGCGACUCUCUGGUCUGUAACUGACGCUGAGGAGCGAAAGCGUGG